RNAcentral lists this long non-coding RNA (1247 nucleotides) under Anser cygnoides (Swan goose). RNAcentral's name for it is "lncRNA (ENSACDG00005008830.1)". The record is from RNAcentral. Lineage: Eukaryota; Metazoa; Chordata; Aves; Anseriformes; Anatidae.
GGGUGCAGAAGACGGGCGCCGUGCGGGGGGAGCACGGGGGGGACUGCCCCCAGGGCUACAAGCGCCUCAACAGCAGCCACUGCCAGGGUAGGCGGGCGUGCAAGGGGCGUGCAAAUGGGUGUGCAAACGGGCGUGCAACGGGCGUGCAGGGGGCAUGCAUUGGGCGUGCAUUGGGCAUGCAACGGGCAUGCAACAGGCAUGCAAUGGGUGUGCAACGGGCGCGCAAUGAGCGUGCAACGGGUGUGCAAUGAGCGUGCAAUGGGUGUGCAAGGGGCGUGCAGGGAGCAUGCAGGCGGGGGGGCGUGUGUGCAGCGGGGGGGGUGUGCAUGGGGCCGUGCAUGCGCACACGUGGCGCAAGCAAGCGGGGGAGCGCGUGUGUGCAAACACCGGGGGGGCACACGGGCGUGCACGGGGUGGGUGUGCACGGGACCGCGCGUGCAAGCACCACGGGGGUGUGCACAGCACCAGGUGUGUGCACGGUGCAGGUGUGCACAGCACCACACAUGCAAGCACCACAGGGACAUGCACAGCACCACGUGUGUGCAAGGAGCGGAUGUGCUCAGCACCCCCUGCACAGCGCAGUUGUGCACAGCACCACGUGUGUGCAAGCAGCGGAUGUGCUCAGCACCACGUGCAUGCAUGCACAGUGCAGAUUUUGCACAGCACCAAUGCGCGCGUGCCCGAUGCAGAUCUGCGUGCACGGUGCAGCCUUGCACAGGACCACGUGUGUGCAUGCACGGCGCAGAUUUGCACCGCACCGAUGCGUGCACGCACCUUGCAGAGUUGCACAGCACCACACACGCACGCAAGAGGCCGAUUUGCACGGCGCCGGUGCGUGCACCCUGCAGAGCUGCAGCCCCGAUGCACGCACAGCGCAGGUCUGCACAGCACCAGCGCAUGCACGAUGCAGACGUGCACGGCACCAGUGCACGCACCUUGCAGCCCCGAUGCACGCACAGUGCAGACGUGCACAGCACCAGCGCACGCACCUUGCGUAUUUGCAGCACCAGAGCACGCACAGUGCAGAUCUGCACGGCACCAGUGCACGCACCUUGCAGCCCCGAUGCGUGCACGAUGCAGACGUGCACAGCACCAGUGCACGCACCUUGCAGCCCCGAUGCACGCACGAUGCAGACAUGCACGGCACCAAAGCACGCACCUUGCAGCCCCGAUGCACGCACGAUGCAGACGUGCACGGCACCAGUGCACGCACCUUGCAGCUCUGCAGCCCUGAUGCGUGCACGAUG